This is a long non-coding RNA of Corticium candelabrum, 711 nucleotides long. RefSeq lists it as uncharacterized. Lineage: Eukaryota; Metazoa; Porifera; Homoscleromorpha; Homosclerophorida; Plakinidae. The transcript has 6 exons. The record is from RefSeq and is a predicted model, not a curated record.
GUCAACCUCUACUCUCGCAGACAACGAAGAAGACGGAUGACUGACUGGACAUAAUCUCUGUCACCUGAUCUCGAGUGAUUUUCUCUCUUCAAACGCAGACCUGAGGCGUUCUUUUUGGCUAAUGUUAUAGUCAUCACCGCUGGCUACUAGACCUACGGGGUGAUGUUAGUGCUCAUCGUACUGUUGCUGCAGCAGAACGAGACAAUACUUUGGACAUCCGGGAUUAUAUCUCGGUCAGUCACUUUUAUCGCGUUUCUACAAGACGAAUUGAGACGUUAGUCAUGUCUGUUGAAAGGGCGGUGAGAAAGGUGAUGGACCUACGGGACAUAAUCUCGGUCACAGUAUGAGCGCACUUGUUGGGUUCUACAGCUUUCAGAAAUUCUCUUGUGGACGUGGUGGAGGAGGCAACGAGAUCACAAUCUCAUUCACUACAUCCAUCAGAUCACCUGCUGCCGUUUCUAUGCCAUCAAUGAGACAACCUGCCAUCUUUGGUGAAGCAAUUGAAGCAAAUGCAGAAGAGCCGCCAGACAGAACAGUCACACAAACGUCUGUCACAAGCGAUCCAAUCUAUAAGCUCUGACAUUCCUGCAUGGAAUGACUGCAGAAUCUAAGCAAAGAAACAAACUUCAACAGGAAGAGAUAUGCCUGAUUGUGUGAAGAAAUUUCAAAUGGAACAUUCAGUUGUAUGUUGUUUAUGAAGAUGGAGUGAGA